RNAcentral lists this long non-coding RNA (265 nucleotides) under Homo sapiens (human). Lineage: Eukaryota; Metazoa; Chordata; Mammalia; Primates; Hominidae. The record is from RNAcentral.
AGGAGGUGGAGGUUGCAGGGAGCCAAGAUUGUGCCACUGCACUCCAGCCUGGGUGACAAGAGCAAGACUCAGUCUCACAUAAAUAAAUAAACAAACAAACAGUGUAUGUGUUUUAUAGACGUUUUCCUACCCAAAGAAAAACAAGUGCUUGGCUGGGCGCGGUGGCUCACACCUGUAAUCCCAGCACUUCGGGAGGCUGAGGCGGGCGGAUUGUGAGGUCAGGAGAUCGAGACCAUCUUGGCUAACACAGUGAAACCCCGUCUCU